GUUCUUAUUAUAUGUCUUAUUCUGAAUUUAUAUGUUAUUGAAAUGUUUUGAAUUCGCCACCAUGACCUUACUGCUUUUUGUAACAUUUUGAUGCCAUUGCUAUAAAUUGAUUUGAAACUGUGAAUGCAGAAACGGCAUAUAAUAUACCGUUUUAUGACUAUGAAAUCCUUUUGGCAGAAUCAUUUAUACCAUAUGAUACUGUUAUCUUAUGUCCC
RNAcentral lists this long non-coding RNA (215 nucleotides) under Mytilus galloprovincialis (Mediterranean mussel). The record is from RNAcentral. Lineage: Eukaryota; Metazoa; Mollusca; Bivalvia; Mytilida; Mytilidae.